This is a long non-coding RNA of Oxyura jamaicensis (ruddy duck), 816 nucleotides long. RefSeq lists it as uncharacterized. NCBI's taxonomy places the organism in Eukaryota, Metazoa, Chordata, Aves, Anseriformes, Anatidae. The transcript is spliced from 2 exons. The record is from RefSeq and is a predicted model, not a curated record.
GGAGGAGGCUUCCUGGAGGCAGUGUUGCUCUGACCCUUUCUGACCAGAGAGCUAUAGCAGCGCUUUAUUGAAAUCAUCUGGAUAUACUCCACCUAAUAAAACGGUAGUCUAUGGCUGCUGGACUUCCUGUGAGAAAGAAGAAUUAAUCAGAUAUGCACAGACACUAUAAAGAGGAAUGGAAGUUGUAUCAGUUGCUGUAACAUAAUGGAAAACGCGUUGGAUCCGUGUGUCAGUGGGUGUAAGAUGAUUUCAGCACAGUGCUGGUCGCUGGAGCCAUAUCCACUUUCCCCAGCUGAAGAUGGCGUGUUUGUGUUACGGUUGCUCUCAUUCAAGACAAACUGAGCAGGAACACUGGUACAAAUAUUUUUGGGAGUUAUUUUCUUUCCCCUGCAGUCAGCAAAAGCAGUGUUUGGAAGCUGUUCUGGGUGGAAAUCAUUCCAAGUGAAAGGUUUGAAAGCAAGCAGCCUAUUGUCUGCUGCUUACCCGGAGCCUCUCACAAGGACACGCAUUGUGUUGUGGGGUGCCGCGAAGAUGUGCGUGCUGAGCUGCUGAGACAUCUUGGAUGAGUGCACAGAGCAACUUGUGGCUUUGUUGAAUGCAAGAAGCAAAUGCAGAAUUGGUUCCUAAGUCUGAAAAUGAAGAAGCAAAGAGCUGCCAUUCAGGAUGUCUGAUUUUGUACUGUGCAAGCAAAUAAUGGCUUGCCCACAUGUCACUGGCCAUCUUAAACUCCAGGAUGGUCUGCAAAGGCUCUUUCUAGAGGCACUUGUAUAAUUUAGGUCUGUAUUAGGAAAAUAAAAUAAAACUUCCUUCCUGGCA